RNAcentral lists this long non-coding RNA (252 nucleotides) under Actinidia chinensis (golden kiwifruit). Its description in RNAcentral is "long non-coding RNA (ACHI_LNC009166)". The record is from RNAcentral. Lineage: Eukaryota; Viridiplantae; Streptophyta; Magnoliopsida; Ericales; Actinidiaceae.
AUUAUUACAAGGGAACAAAUAGCUGAGGAUUGUACGGUACAAGUACCAUAGCAAAGUGCUCAUCCGAUUGUUCAUCAGGGGAUGAACUAGCAGUUAAGUGAACAAGUAAUGGAGAGGCAGUUUCUUCUGGAGAAGAAUUGGGUUCGUUAAAGAAGUCACCGGGGUUGACACCAGCAGCCGAUGAAAUUGGCGAUAGGCUACCAUUUGGUGAAUUCGAAUCAGUUGUACCCAAUGUUUCGGAACCGAUUGCAG